This 576-nucleotide long non-coding RNA is filed under the name Zonotrichia albicollis (white-throated sparrow). RNAcentral's name for it is "lncRNA (ENSZALG00000014601.1)". The record is from RNAcentral. Lineage: Eukaryota; Metazoa; Chordata; Aves; Passeriformes; Passerellidae.
GCUGUCCUUCACUGAAACCUGAUACCUGGGAGUGGUGUUGUCCCCCAGCCAUAUACAAAUACCUGAGGUUCAUUUUCUUAUGCUUGACUAUAUAAUUCUCUUAAAAAACCUGAGAAAGAUGCUUUGGUAACUAUGGGUAAAAUAAGACAUUAAGUGGAAGGAACAAACUUUCUCAAAGGUUAGGAAAAGAAACACUGCUGUGGAAGAAUCCAAUGAAUUUAUUAAUGAGCUUGGAGAAGCCUUUACUGUGGAGGUAAGCAGGAUGCUAAUGGGACGCUGUCACACACACGGACCGUGCCCCGUUGGUGUGUCGCCGUGGCAGGGGAACAACAGGAGAGAGCAUUGCCUUCCACCUGCAAUCCCUGCACUUCGGUGAGAACUAAAUUAAGUGGGUCAAAUGCCUGUCGUGUUUCUGUUCCUGUUUGUCUGCCUCAAUCGUGCAAACUUGUAGUUUUCUCUCAAUUUCUUCCCCUGGGCAAAAUAAUGCAAAUUAUGUUUUAUUCUUUGAAAAAAGGGGGAUCCCCCCUCAGAAAAGGGAGGUGCGAAAUAAGAUGCAAGUAGUGAUGUGUUUGUUCU